AUACAGUAUUUGUCUUUAUCUUAUUUCACUUAGCGUAGUACCCGCCGGGUCCAUCCCUGUUUCUGUUUUUUGAGUGCUCCUGCACAUAUCAAAUAUAUUAAGUUUGCGGACUAAAGAAGAGAUUUUUAUAAUUAUUUUUAUCUUUUAUGUUAUUUUGCCAAGUGCAUUUUUUGAUAGAGAUUAUUAGGAUGUUUUAAGAUGUACACAUUCAAAAACUGAAAGCUAUAAUUUUAUUAACUUAUACAGAAAUAGUGCAAACAUACUGAAAUAUUGUAAGAUUCAUGCAAAUAACAUUUGGCAGAGUUGUAAAUAUAUACAAGUGUAGAGACAUAAGUAUCUUGAAAUGUGAACUUCAUAGAGGCUCACAGGUUUUUUGAAAAAUACUAGAGGUUAAAUAGUUUUCUCUCGUCUAUUAAGUUCCUUUUAUAUGGAAAACACUGAAGAAAACAUCAAGUUGUUUCUUUUUGAAGACAUUCUAAUCUAUCUAUGGAAGAUAAAAUCUUCAGGAAAUAUGAUGAGACCAAUCACAAAACAAAACAGCUGACAUAUGAGAUUUGAUAGAGUCUUGAUCACUGGAAUCCAAAGGCAAGUUUAUGUCUGUCUGGGUAACAUUCCAGACACAUUGGUCAAUGCAUGUAACUGUCUACUUGGCAAGCUCAGGGUGAAAUAUGGAAGUAUUUGAAGAUUAGCAUUACAGUUCUCCUUCUAAAACAUACCUCUUCCAAAAUGAUGCUCAAAACUCAUCUCAUGCAGGAUACUUCCCUGACAGUUAAGGCAGCAGAAAAAUCUUUUCAUCUUCAAACAGUGCUGUUGAGAAAUGUAUUUUCUUUUCAGAUUUACAUGAAAUAUUCAUAAAAAAGAAAUAAAAGCAGCAAUCAAAUAAAUGUCAAUAAGAAAAAAAAUCACCAUGAAAUUAUUUCUUAUGUUGAGACUUUCUAUUGGGACUCUUUUCUAGUAAUAUAGGUGUGUAUAUCCACUCAUGCAUAUAUACGAAUAUAUGCAAAUUUGACUUAAUUUCUUCCAUUCACACUGUAAGCACUAGAAUGAAAGGGAUGGGUAGGAGGAUAUGUCCACAUAGUAUUGCAUUGGAUGAAGAGAGGAUUAUUUGCAUCAUGUGGAAGGGAGGCUUGAACUUCACUUUGAUCAAUCCUGAUAAACAUGUAAAAUGCACAUAACUGGCUUCAUGACCCUGGUAAACAAAAGCUCAGGGUUUUCGUGAUGACCAGCAGCUGACAUCUCCCACCCACUUAGGGCUUAUCUUCGAUGUGGGGCAAGGUUCAUGGAGAUGGUGGACACAAUUAAAGCCAGUUUGGAAAAGGACUAUAAAGAGGAAGCAUUAGUGUGAUGCAAGACUUUGGGCUACAUGGAAUAUAGAGUGUAGAAUGUACAGGAUUUCUGAUUAAGAAAACCACAGAAAAGAGACAUCUUGUCAGAACACUUCAUCAUAUAAGAAAGUUUGCUAUUCUAAGCUGAGAGUUCAGGAAACACGUCAAUGAUAAAAUGAAGUUUGAGAACAAGUCCUAAAGGGAGUGAGGGAACAACAACUGGAAUUGAAACAGAGCAAGAUCCUGGGGGGCCUUCCCAGGAUAGAGCCCUCUGCUCUACUGCCAUGUCCUCAGCCUACCUUUCAUCUACAGAAAAACUUGAUCCGAAGAAUAAAUUUAAUUAGAGAAGUAAGAAAACGCAGAAACAAAGAAAAGCAGUCAAACAAAACCGAAUAAUAACAGUUUAGUCAUUAAGCAAAGUCAAGGACAUUUAGUUCCUCCUCAAGGGUUAUAGAUAAUAUUCUGAGCCAUAUCCUUUGACCAUUUCAAUGAUAGUGAAACCCCACCAGGUGGAUGAAGUUAACUAUGUGAUGACCAGGCUGUAGCCAUGACAUAAGCUGCCACAGUUCUGAUAACUGGCUUCAAAGAAAUGGGAACAAACCAACCCUGGAACUAAAGAUAUGUGGAGUUUUAAGACUCAAGCAGGAGGAUAGAUGCAAAAACAAACUUUAGAAGGUAUAAAUAGGCACAGUUUCACAGAAGUUUCAGGGGAAAAAGUGCAAAGAAUUAUAAAACAGUAUCCAAGUUUACUUUACAGUACACCUUUGUUUUCUUACUCCACUGUUUUGCAAAACAAAUUUUGAAAUUUUACCUUAAAAAUAUUUCAUUCCUCUAUGAGAGUCUGAUUUAUCUUCUAGAUUUAUCUUCUAGUCUUCCUGCAUUUAAAGGCAACAAAAUAUUUUAAUUUGUAUCUAUUACACCAGUAUUUGAUUUUCAGAGACUGAUCUAUUAAAGUGCUCUGAUUUUUACAUACACACUUAGCUUUGGUCUUUAAAAUCACAGCCACUUACUUUAUAUUGAGUUUAAUAAACUACUUACACCGGCCCUGGGGAAAGAUCCGUAUAUAAACAAAUGCCUUUAAUGGUGUGUAGAUGGUUCCUGUAAGCCAUUUAGAAUACAUCAAUGUUUAAAUCAUCCCUCAUGUUAAACUUACUUUAGGUCUGUAAUACAUGUACAAACAUUAGGAGGUACAUGGUUAUUUAUUUAUUUACUUUGUAUAUUUGUGCUAUCACAAAAAGUUAGGAGAUUAACUAGGAUACUCAGAAGUCAGGUUUCUUAGAAAACCAAAAUUAAAUGUAGUCUGUUGGAAGAGUAGAUGCGCAGAGGGCUUAAAGUGAAGCUGAUAAAUAGAAAUUUUUGCUACAUUGCCUAGUAUUCCCUUUAUCUGGUCCCUAGUAUCCAACUUCUUAAGCAACUCUUAAUCCUUGCUUGGUAAAGAUAAUCUAGUAAAUGCUGCCUGCAUUUGAUCUGAUGAUACUAAUCCCCCUAUUUUCUAACUUCGCUAAAAUAAAUUUUUAAAAAUAUACUGGGGGAAUAAUGGUAAAUGAAGACUCCUUUUCUUCUGGUAGUAUUUUACUUAUGGGGUUUUUUAAAAUUCUUCUUUCAAAAGUUUAUGUAUUUCUAGGAAAAGGUUUAGUUCUAAAAGUCUCCAUUUAUGUU
RNAcentral lists this long non-coding RNA (2984 nucleotides) under Sus scrofa (pig). RNAcentral describes it as "lncRNA (ENSSSCG00065008019.1)". Lineage: Eukaryota; Metazoa; Chordata; Mammalia; Artiodactyla; Suidae. The record is from RNAcentral.